CCUACGGGAGGCAGCAGUGAGGAAUAUUGGUCAAUGGGCGGGAGCCUGAACCAGCCAAGUCGCGUGAGGGAAGACGGUCCUAUGGAUUGUAAACCUCUUUAGGCGGGGAGCAAUGCCGGGCACGCGUGCCCGGAGGGAGAGUACCCGCAGAAUAAGCAUCGGCUAACUCCGUGCCAGCAGCCGCGGUAAUACGGAGGAUGCGAGCGUUAUCCGGAUUUUUUGGGUUUAAAGGGUGCGUAGGCGGAUUUUUAAGUCAGCGGUAAAAUGUCCGGGCUCAACCCGGGCCGGCCGUUGAAACUGGGGAUCUUGAGUGGGCGAGAAGUAUGCGGAAUGCGUGGUGUAGCGGUGAAAUGCAUAGAUAUCACGCAGAACGCCGAUUGCGAAGGCAGCAUACCGGCGCCCGACUGACGCUGAGGCACGAAAGCGUGGGGAUCGAACAGGAUUAGAUACCCCAGUAGUC
This 460-nucleotide ribosomal RNA is filed under the name uncultured bacterium. Its description in RNAcentral is "partial 16S ribosomal RNA". It matches the Rfam family "Bacterial small subunit ribosomal RNA", at positions 338 to 795 of the family's 1533-position model. The record is from RNAcentral.